Molecule: ribosomal RNA, 796 nt
Filed under: uncultured Methanosarcinaceae archaeon
Lineage: Archaea; Methanobacteriati; Methanobacteriota; Methanomicrobia; Methanosarcinales; Methanosarcinaceae
Description: bacterial SSU rRNA
Rfam family: Archaeal small subunit ribosomal RNA
Source: RNAcentral
ACGGCUCAGUAACACGUGGAUAACCUGCCCUUGGGUCCGGCAUAACCCCGGGAAACUGGGGAUAAUUCCGGAUAACGCACAUAUGCUGGAAUGCUUUAUGCGUAAAAUGGAUUCGUCUGCCCAAGGAUGGGUCUGCGGCCUAUCAGGUAGUAGUGGGUGUAAUGUACCUACUAGCCAACAACGGGUACGGGUUGUGAGAGCAAGAGCCCGGAGAUGGAUUCUGAGACAUGAAUCCAGGCCCUACGGGGCGCAGCAGGCGCGAAAACUUUACAAUGCGGGAAACCGUGAUAAGGGGACACCGAGUGCCAGCAUCAUAUGCUGGCUGUCCGGGUGUGUAAAAUACACCCGUUAGCAAGGGCCGGGCAAGACCGGUGCCAGCCGCCGCGGUAACACCGGCGGCCCGAGUGGUGAUCGUGAUUAUUGGGUCUAAAGGGUCCGUAGCCGGUUUGGUCAGUCCUCCGGGAAAUCUGACGGCUCAACCGUUAGGCUUUCGGGGGAUACUGCCAGGCUUGGAACCGGGAGAGGUAAGAGGUACUACAGGGGUAGGAGUGAAAUCUUGUAAUCCCUGUGAGACCACCUGUGGCGAAGGCGUCUUACCAGAACGGGUUCGACGGUGAGGGACGAAAGCUGGGGGCACGAACCGGAUUAGAUACCCGGGUAGUCCCAGCCGUAAACGAUGCUCGCUAGGUGUCAGGCAUGGCGCGACCGUGUCUGGUGCCGCAGGGAAGCCGUGAAGCGAGCCACCUGGGAAGUACGGCCGCAAGGCUGAAACUUAAAGGAAUUGGCGGGGGAGCAC